AAUACCUGACUACUUUCGAAGUUGGAAAAACCUCCGGGCCUUGUAAGAGAUCUCUUUUAUUGCACUUUUUAAAUUCUCAACUGAAAUAUUUUCAUGUGUAAUCCUAAAUCCAUCAAAUAUGUUGUUUACAGAGAGAUGCAAGCGAGUGGUCUAGAAGGCCCCCUUCCAUCUAGUCUCUCUGCCUUGAAUAAUAUGACAGAUCUAAGGAUUAGUGACUUAAGCGGUGAGAGUUCUGCUUUGCCAAACUUAUCAAGCAUGACGGGCAUUAAUAAAUUGUGAGCCAUAUUUUAGGUUUUAUAUCAUAUAUACUAAAACCCGUAAGGGCUGAUCACUGUGGAUGACCAGUGUGUGGACGUUUUUGCCCCUCCAUUUUUCCUCUGUCUCGCUUGCUAUGUCCAUAUUUGUACAGUCGAAUGACUGUUUUGCCCAUUCACUCCACGCGUCCGUCAUCGACUCACCCUCUAUUUGGGUUGCGUCUUCUGGAUUUUUCUGUUUGUUUCCGCCGGUCUCUCACACAUCUCAGUUCUAUUGUUCUGCAACUCACCCUUUCUCGCUAUCCCUUUUUGCCACCGCUCCGAUUCCGCCUGUGUUGACAGCCUUCAAACUAUAGAAAUCAUCAUUGAUCAAGCUUCUAUUUCAACUGUGGCCUGUUAAUUUUUGUCUUCAUCUGGCUGAUUCCAGCUGUGUUCGCACCCUUCAAAACCUAAAUACCAAAAUUCAGAUCAGUUUUCUGAAGCUUGGGUUUGAUUUUGUUCCGCUUCGUUCUGCUCCUCGCCUUCCUGUUUAUUUUCCAAGAAAUAUUGAAUGUACCCAUAACUUGCCUUCCUCUUUCGGUUUCCAACUUUAAAUUUUAAGACCAAGUCCCUCACCGGACGAGGAUCUAGAUCCGACCGACAAACGUUGGAGUAUUUAACAGAUAGGCAACUAGCUUUGAGAUAUAAGGAGAGGAAACUAAGGUAUCCAAAUUACCUAGAAACAGAGGUCUAACGGUUUCAGACCCAAGAACAGAAGCAACUCUGUGUGCAUCACCCACCCAAGAACAGAAGCAGCUCUGUGGGCAUCACCUUGGAAACUGUGGGUGGCAUCUGUGCAGCCAUCAAAUCGUUUAUAAACAACCAGAAGACUAUCCAAAACAGGCUUUUAUCUGAGGUGUUGUAGCUGCUGAAUUUUGUCAACAGUCUGUUCAUUCAGAUUCAUAUUGGGAUGUUCAUGCUUUCAAUAUUUUGUCCUUGCACCAGAAAGUAAGUAUUAUUCCAAGAAGCUGAAAAGGAAUCAGUGGCUAACAAAGUCAGUAGCAAUCGAUCAAAAAAUGAUAUUCAUCCUUGGUAGUUGAAUCUUCCUUAUGCUCUGGGUCCUUUGGUACAAAAGAGUUUCAACACCUGGGCAGUUACAACGAUCGUUGAGUACUUACAUCUGCUUCCUUAUGCUGCAAUUUUGUCAGACUGAUAUCCCAGGAUGUUAAGGAGCUGCAAUAUAACCGGAGAAAUGCCUGAAUAUAUCUCUACCUUGACAAGUCUGACUGUUUUAUCUUAGCUUCAACAGACUGGAAGGGAGUAUUCCAAAUUUUGCAGAUAUUAAGGAAUUGGCCACAAUGUAAGGAAUAUAACUCAUAAGGGUAGCUAACACACAAGAUGAUGCAUGGAGGCACUUCCGGCCAAACCACGGCAAAUUAGCCAUCGAAAAAGAUACCAUUCUCUUCAUCUCGUUGAGAAGUAUGAUUUUCAUUUUUGAAUCACUCAAUUUCGUUGAGUAUUAAAGAAGUUAUGAACGUUUAAAGUUUACUUAGUUUCCAGCUAGUUUCCUUUUUUCCCGUGGACCAGUCACCUUUCAGGCUAUUUUCCGUCCAUCUCCAGCAUCCAUUGGGCUUCCAAAUAUGUAUAAUCUUGUUUUACACUU
This is a non-coding RNA of Malus domestica (apple), 1896 nucleotides long. The record is from RefSeq and is a predicted model, not a curated record. NCBI's taxonomy places the organism in Eukaryota, Viridiplantae, Streptophyta, Magnoliopsida, Rosales, Rosaceae.